AACCUUAAAACUCCACCCCUCCUGAGAAACGAGAAACGCAGAGAGAAGAGAGAAAGCUAAACCUCGCGAGGAAGAAAAAGGGAAGGAGAGGGAGAAGAGCGCGCCGGCGUCGCGCCUCACCGCCGUGGAGCCCAUCACACGCGUCACCACCGUCAUGUCAUCGUCAAUCUGAACCGUGCGAGGGAGAGAGCUGCCGCUGCGGGAAACGCGAUGGUGGAGAGGACGCCGCCAGCUCUGUCGCACCUGGUCACUAUCGAGCUCGCCGUCGAAGACGCCACCGCCGUCACUGUGACGAACCCUAGCCGUCGCAGUCGCCGUCGACGCUGUAGCAGAGAAGGAGGAAGGAUGCGCGAACAAAAGAGGGAGAAGGAAGCUGCGAAGCCGUCGCUGUUUCUGCUCGGGAUUGUCGCCGCUGCUGAAGAAGACGCGUCCAAGAGAGAGAGAACCAGGGGAGUGACGCGCGAAGAUGCUCUGACAGAGAAGGAGGAGAACGAGGCUGUCUCAUCGCCAAUGAUUAGAAGUUCCUACUGUUGAUGGGAUGAACAGAACAUGAAGAGGGAGGAGAAACUCGCAGAGGAGAGGGAGGUUUUGCCACCGCACCGCUGGUCGCCAGGGACGCCGCCAUUGAUGCCAGGAAAUGCCACUAUUGGAGCCACUGUCCUUGCUCGGCCCCUAUUUCUGCUGCUGUUUACGCUAGCUCAGCCAUUGCCGCCACAACCCGUCUCAAAUUUCUUCUAAUUUUGACACUCAGAGGGUGCUACUACUCUAAAUGAUUGGAAGAUGAUCAUCGCUGUUUGAAAAGAGCAAUGCAUCACAAUUGUCCUGUUUGCUUUGAGAUUUUGUUUUGAGCAAUGUUAGGAGAAAAUAGUUCUGCUUCGCCAUCAGUUCCUACUCUGUCAUCUGCUGCUGUUCUGUGCUCUCCUCUCCGCUUGCGUCCACUAGGCCGUCCCCCACCUCGUCCGUUGAGGUUCAGUUACGGGACAAAAUUUGUUUAAUGAUUCGGCUGAGGACAUUCUCGGUGGUAGCAGACUUGGAAACAAAUUCCACGGCUUGUUUGAGAGCCAAGUCCUUAGGAGUUCCUUAACAGAUAAAAAGAGAGCAAACAAUGUUGCUAAGAUCAAAGUUGUGGUAUGCUUUGUGUUGCAUGUUUCUUAGUCGGUAAUGGCUUGGCUAGUGUCAACGUGUAUAGAUUUUAAACUUUGAAGUUUUUUGAGUGUGCAAACAAUGAAUUAAUUGUUUUUUAUUUGGAUUUGAAUUUAGUUUGGUGCA
This is a non-coding RNA of Arachis ipaensis, 1269 nucleotides long. The record is from RefSeq and is a predicted model, not a curated record. NCBI's taxonomy places the organism in Eukaryota, Viridiplantae, Streptophyta, Magnoliopsida, Fabales, Fabaceae.